GCAAAUAAAUAAAUCAAACAAAGUUAAAAAUUAAAAUAAUGUCCAUUCCGAAUUAUACAGUCCCAAAAAUAGAAAAAUACGGAAAUGUAAAUUCUAUUCUAAACUAAUCCUAGACUAAGCUCUACCCGAAUCCUCGGGCCUUGAUCACAAACCUUCUUUGCGUACAUGAUACUUCGAGAUAUUCCCCGGUGAAUAAGUACUAUGUGGCCUUCGGGAAUUCCCCGGCUAAUGAGUAUAGUUUCAAGUCUUGUACGAUAAAAUAGAAAGAACCAUUCACACACACAUUCAAUCAUUCAACAAAAAUAGCAUUCCUAAAUUAGCCUACCCAACCUAGAAAUUGCCUACUAGUUUCGAUCUAAAGCAUGAUAUUAUCAAACUUAGCAAAUCAGACGCCUAUUUUUUGUAUCAAACAAACAUCAAUUAAUCAAUACAAAUUAAUCACGUUCAUUUUAUCCGUUUUCAAUUCUCACCCCCCAAAUCCAUUCUCAACAUGAUUAAACCAAUUCAAUACGUAAUCUAACAAUCAAGUAAAUCUACAAUCCAUCAACACAAGUAAUUAUCCAUAACCAAUGGAGAUCAACCCAACACAAAUCACGACAUUAUUACCACGCUAAAAAACACAAAAAGAAAUAGAGUUGAAAAAUUGAACCUCAACUUGACGCUUUAUUUCUUCAAUUAAAUAGAGGAGCUUCACGGAUUCGGAACCUCAAACUAACCGGACUUUGAACAAACCCGAACUCUACUAUUUUGGAGCUAGAACAGUGUUGAUUCCAAAGAGAAUUUUUCACCCCCAUCACUGUUUCUCUCUUUUUCUAGCGUGUCUUCAACAUAAUCUCAUCGGGAUGAACGAUUUUGGUUGGAAAUGGAUGGUAACUGACUGGAAGGUAUUGUAUUUGACUGGAACUGACUCAACAGAGUCAAUUUUGGUGUAAAAUUGGACUUGACAUGGGAGGAACAGUUUCACCGAUCACUGUUUUCCCGUCAUGGUGUGACCUAAAAUAGUAUACUGGGUUGUUAUAGCUUAUUCGAAGCUCCAGCAAGAGGUCCCAAUGCUAGAACAGUAACGACGUCGAUAGUGGGUCAUUAAUUUUUCACUCGAUUUCCCUCUCUCCUUAUUUGGAUCCAUUAUUAUUUCUCUCUCACCCUCACUAUGUUGCUCUCUGUUCACUGUGUGUGUAUGAAUCUGGUAAGGUGAGUGUGUGUAUGUUCUCAUGAAGGUGAGAGUAUCGGUUUGUGCUGUGUGAGUAUAAGAAUUUGUUGCUAUGAUGUGUAGCAUGGAAAAGAAUUCCUAUCAGGUGUAUUGUUACUGUAUGGUUUUAAAGAAUGAAACAAUGGAGUGUUUUGUGAAAUAAUAAAUGAAGAAAAUAGAAGCUUGAUCUCUAUUUUCUAAACUAUUAUAUAUAGAUUUGUGUGGUCUGCGUAUUGUUGUUGAGUGGAAAAAAAAAAAGUGAGGGGUAGGGGUUAGGUGGGGUAGCGAGGGUAGGAUGAGAUAAAAUUUGUUAUGAAUUUGUUGAGAGUUGGUUGUUAUUUUUGUCAUUUUGUGAAAAAAUUAUCAACUAAAAAAAGGGUGUAUGGUAAGGUGGUAAAUGAGUAAAAAAAAUGAUUUCGAGGAGGGACAAAAUUACGUGUCUACAUUAUAC
Molecule: long non-coding RNA, 1640 nt
Filed under: Capsicum annuum
Lineage: Eukaryota; Viridiplantae; Streptophyta; Magnoliopsida; Solanales; Solanaceae
Description: long non-coding RNA (CANN_LNC000338)
Source: RNAcentral